AUCGCCGAUUGUAGUGGCCAAGCAUAGCAGGCUCUGGCCCUGCUGACGGGAGUUCGAAUCUCCCCCGGGCUA
This 72-nucleotide transfer RNA is filed under the name Candidatus Bathyarchaeota archaeon. Its description in RNAcentral is "tRNA-Gln". The stretch from base 8 to 64 matches the Rfam family "tRNA", at positions 9 to 63 of the family's 71-position model. Rfam says of the family: Transfer RNA (tRNA) molecules are approximately 80 nucleotides in length. The record is from RNAcentral. Lineage: Archaea; Thermoproteati; Candidatus Bathyarchaeota.